AUUGAACGCUGGCGGCAUGCUUUACACAUGCAAGUCGGACGGCAGCGGGGUAGUGCUUGCACUACUGCCGGCGAGUGGCGAACGGGUGAGUAAUAUAUUGGAACGUACCGAGUAAUGGGGGAUAACCAAUCGAAAGAUUGGCUAAUACCGCAUACGCUCUGAGGAGGAAAGCAGGGGACCUUCGGGCCUUGCGUUAUUCGAGCGGCCAAUAUCUGAUUAGCUAGUUGGUGGGGUAAGGGCCUACCAAGGCGACGAUCAGUAGCGGGUCUGAGAGGAUGAUCCGCCACACUGGGACUGAGACACGGCCCAGACUCCUACGGGAGGCAGCAGUGGGGAAUUUUGGACAAUGGGCGCAAGCCUGAUCCAGCCAUGCCGCGUGUCUGAAGAAGGCCUUCGGGUUGUAAAGGACUUUUGCUAGGGAAGAAAAAGGAGCGGUUAAUACCCGUUUCUGCUGACGGUACCUAAAGAAUAAGCACCGGCUAACUACGUG
This 490-nucleotide ribosomal RNA is filed under the name uncultured bacterium. RNAcentral describes it as "partial 16S ribosomal RNA". It matches the Rfam family "Bacterial small subunit ribosomal RNA", at positions 30 to 507 of the family's 1533-position model. The record is from RNAcentral.